Cinara cedri is the source of this 207-nucleotide non-coding RNA. The record is from the annotation of a GenBank genome assembly. NCBI's taxonomy places the organism in Eukaryota, Metazoa, Arthropoda, Insecta, Hemiptera, Aphididae.
UUAAUUAUUGUAUAUUGUUUAUUGUAAUAUUUUCCCAUAUACGGUAGAAAAUAAUCAUUUCGCCUUUUUGAUAAAGGUCGUUCGGUCAUUUUAACAUCCGACUCAAUAAAAAUAUAGUUUUAGUAUCAUCUACACAUAAUACUCGUUAUAUUGCGUUAUUUAAAGGCGAUACGCUACGAGUCGGAGAUUAAGUUCCCGAGAGGUUUU